AUGAACGCGAUGAUAGGAAAUAGUAGCAUGUCCUUUCUUCUCAAGAGAGUCAGUGGCCGGUGAGAACUGACGAAGAAACCAUGUGAAUCCAUCCUUGAGUGUCUGGCUGAAAUGGAGUAGGUCAGACCGGUACUCACCGUUAUGAGUGAAGCCGGAAGGUACACGUGUACCUUUAACUUGGGUGGUAUCGCGGGAAGCAUAAACAAAAGCUCUCGUCCCUUCU
This 223-nucleotide non-coding RNA is filed under the name Halobacillus karajensis. RNAcentral describes it as "T-box sequence". It matches the Rfam family "T-box leader". From Rfam's summary of the family: Uncharged tRNA acts as the effector for transcription antitermination of genes in the T-box leader family. T-boxes are found upstream of many aminoacyl-tRNA synthetase genes and some amino acid biosynthetic genes usually in Gram-positive bacteria. The anticodon of a specific tRNA base pairs to a specifier sequence within the T-box motif, and the NCCA acceptor tail of the tRNA base pairs to a conserved bulge in the T-box antiterminator hairpin. Lineage: Bacteria; Bacillati; Bacillota; Bacilli; Caryophanales; Bacillaceae. The record is from RNAcentral.